AAAAAACACUUUUUGCUGUGAAAUAAACAUUGUGUGGACGGAUUUAUAUCCAUAAGAUACUUUUUCAUCCAGCAAAUACGUUUGGAUCUGUGAGAGAAAUGCCUGAAAAAGUGUGUGCAGUGCAACAGGAACUUUAACUAAAUCUAAUUUGCUGUCUGUCAGAUACUUUUCACCGAAAACGAAAACGAAACCGACGCCAUGCCAAUGCCAAAGCAAAAGCUAAAAUUACAUUUACAAUUACAUUUUAGCCCAAAAGUCAGUUCAUUAACGAAUUUUACCCCUAACCCCCACCUACCCGUGACUCUUGCAGAGCAUCGUCCACAAUUAGCGGAGCCAUCGGAGAGGAGAGGAGGAGCCAAGGAGCCGCCGCCCAGCAACAACCGAUGGACCAUGUUGAUGCCGGUGCUGGAAUACUCGUACAACAGACACAUAGCCAAGAUACCAAAUUGUAAAAUGAGGCGAACGACGACGCUUAGAGUGGCAUCGAUGCGGAUGGGGUUGCUGUUCCUCCAACUGUUGCUGGUGCCGCUGCUCCACUGCCAGGCGGUGGAUCCAGCGGCCAGCGGUGGUGCUGGUGCUAUUGCUGGCGGUACUGUCGCUGGCGGAGGAGUCGGCGCUGGUGCUGGUGCUCCCGGAGGUGCGGCAGGGAGCAACAGCCUCAAUGGCGGACCAGCGGGUGGCACACUGAGUGCCAAUCUCACGGAAUUGGGCAGUCCCGGUGUGUAUAAUUCGACAUUGGAUAUAUAAUGCUAAUUGCAAUGUAGUGUAUGGCGUAUAGCUGACUUAACCCCUAACCCCUAACCCCUGACCCCUAGCCACAGUCCCAUUACCAUUCCCAUUCCCAGCCCCCCUUGACGACGACGCCGCCAUUUUGGCAUUUGUGUGUUGUGUGUGUGCAUUACCCGUUUCCGUUUCCGCUUGGCAAAAGCCAGAGCAAAAGCAGGGAAAGGGUUCGCCGGGCGGCAAAAACUAUUAGCUACUUGGCGCUAAAUAACCACGCCCACGCCCACGACCCUUGGCCCGACCACCUCCUCCUCCAUUCACACAGAAGCAAAACACUAAGCAUCAAUUAACCCAAUUUUCAGAAUCCAUUUUCACCUGGCCACGGAGCAUGGAGCAUGGCGCAUGGAGCUGCGGCCAUGGCGCGCUCUUUGGCUCUUUUGCUGAGUAUUUUCCUACUUUUCCGUACUUUUGUGUGGACUUAAGUGUGCGUGUUCACAGCUCCUUUUCCCUCCAUCUAUAUAUAUUUUUUUUUGAGAGUUUACCUCUUCUUUUUUGCCACCAAUCCCCAAGUGGCGACGAGUCGAAACCAACUCCCAAUUCCACCAAUCCCAGCCCCAGCCCCAGCCCCAGCCCACUUCCUUGUUUAAUCCUGGCUCUUUUAGCCAGACUUUCCUCUACUCCAAACUCUUUUCGCAGGCGUUCCGGGCAUUUGUUGUAGUUUGGUUUGGUUUUGGUUUCUGGAUCUGGACUUCAACGUGGGAGCAGCAGCAGCAGCGGCAGUAGCAAAUCAUAAUUAAUCCAUCGAUUUUGCAGCAUUCUUUUUUCAGCAUUUUCCAGCUUCAAUAAUUCACACAAAUCAUUUCAGCUAUAAAUAUAAAUUCUUUUUACAGCAUUUAACAAUGAGUUUUUCAGCAAACAAGAGAAUUUUUUCAUCACAGUAGAGUUUUUCCCUUUUAUUAUGGAUUGGAAUACAUAUUACGGAUGCAAUUACAAAUUGAUGAGCGGACGCCACAGAACUUGUACGACAGUUUGUCAGACAUCAGAUACAACGGACAGCGGGUGGUCCCUCGCAGCAUUGGUCAUCCGCAAACAGCUGGAGAGAUGCAGAUGUCCGGGAUUGGGAUUGUAUUUCUUUGAAGAAGUGACAACCCUUCAGAUACAUUUACGACUGCUGGCGGGAGUUGUGUGCUUGAUUGCGGCUCAAAGAAACAAAUUCCAUAAUGUUCCACUAUAAUAAGUGCAUUAAAUUAAAAACGAGGGGAAACGUUUGAUCAGAUCUCAUCCAGGUUCAUCAAUCUGAUAGAUACGGUUAUUCCCUAUAAUUAUAAGCUGGAUACUGGAUACAACAUUUAGUUUCUAGAGCUCUUAUGGUCCCUGAGAUUUAGGCGCUGAUCGGGACUUGGCUUGGCUAUUGAUAC
This 2141-nucleotide unclassified non-coding RNA is filed under the name Drosophila pseudoobscura pseudoobscura. RNAcentral's name for it is "GA25478". The record is from RNAcentral. Lineage: Eukaryota; Metazoa; Arthropoda; Insecta; Diptera; Drosophilidae.